Molecule: ribosomal RNA, 442 nt
Filed under: uncultured bacterium
Lineage: Bacteria
Description: partial 16S ribosomal RNA
Rfam family: Bacterial small subunit ribosomal RNA
Source: RNAcentral
CCUACGGGCGGCAGCAGUGGGGAAUAUUGGGCAAUGGGCACAAGCCUGACCCAGCAACGCCGCGUGAAGGAAGAAGGCUUUCGGGUUGUAAACUUCUUUUAAGGGGGAAGAGCAGAAGACGGUACCCCUUGAAUAAGCCACGGCUAACUACGUGCCAGCAGCCGCGGUAAUACGUAGGUGGCAAGCGUUGUCCCGAUUUACUGGGUGUAAAGGGCGUGCAGCCGGAGAGACAAGUCAGAUGUGAAAUCCGCGGGCUCAACCCGUGAACUGCAUUUGAAACUGUUUCCCUUGAGUUUCGGAGAGGUAAUCGGAAUUCGUUGUGUAGCGGUGAAAUGCGUAGAUAUAAGGAAGAACCCCGGUGGCGAAGGCAGAUUACUGGACGGUAACUGACGGUGAGGCGCGAAAGCGUGGGGAUCAAACAGGAUUAGAUACCCUGGUAGUC